CGCGUUAACCUCACGCGAGAGCAUGUAUUAUUUUUCCCCGCUAGGUGGCUAAUCAAGUCCGAAACAUACAAAUAUAAAAAAAAGUAAUUAAAAGAGAUAAAAGCAUACGAGACAUUAAAGGAUAGCGGCUGACAAGAAGCAAGACAAACAUUAAAAGAAGACUUUUGGCCGGACAAAGACAUCUCCCUGGGCUUUGUGAAACAGUUAUGCACCUGGCAGACGUCUCCUGGGGUUACGGCUCUCCAGGAAAGCAGCUGAUGACACACAUAGCAACAAUCCGGGACACUUCCAGGACUCCACAGUCCUAAGAUGGUGCACCAGGAGGUCAAGCUGUGGUUCACAGAGCAGACGUAGGUCACCGCUACGGGAUACCUGAACCCCAUGACAGCAGAGAGCCUGCUCAGUGCUGGAGGCAGAGAUGUCCAAGAGUCUCCAGGCUGCGUUGGGGUUCAGCUCCUCCUGGUCACGACACAGCGCCCAAACAUACAUCAUCCUC
Epinephelus fuscoguttatus (brown-marbled grouper) is the source of this 496-nucleotide long non-coding RNA. RefSeq lists it as uncharacterized. The transcript has 5 exons. Lineage: Eukaryota; Metazoa; Chordata; Actinopteri; Perciformes; Serranidae. The record is from RefSeq and is a predicted model, not a curated record.